GAAUAUUAGUCAAUGCUCGAAAGAGUGAACUAGCUAACUGAAAUCAAUUAUAAUAAUUGAUAACAUAAGGGAAAAUAAUGAUAUUACCUUAUUAUUAGUGUCGUCAAAAACUGGUGCCAGAAGACUCGGUAAGGCCUGAGACACAAACGUUAAUCGUCUUAAUCAGGCGUAAAGGGUUUGUAGGCGGCUUUUAAAUUAACUUAUUAAUACAAAAAUAAAUAUAAAUAAGUUAAGAAUAAAAGCUAGAAUCAAAUAGAGGAUAUAUCAAAUAAUGCUUAGAGUAGGUCUGAUAUCCUUAGAUACUAAGUAGAAUAUUAAAGGCGUAAGCUUUUUUCCAUUAAUGAUUGACGCUCAGAAACGAAGGUGAGGAUAGGAAAUAGGAUUAGAUACCCAAAAUACCCCUCUCUGUCAACGAUGAAUGGUAGUUAUUAGUAAUAAUUUAUUAAUAGCAAUGUUAACACGAUAACCAUUCCGCCUUGUGAGUACAACUGCAAAGUUGAAAACAAAAAAAUUAGUCGGUUUCGGAGCAAACGAAGUGAAGCAUGUUAUUUAAUUC
Molecule: ribosomal RNA, 556 nt
Filed under: Russula chloroides
Lineage: Eukaryota; Fungi; Basidiomycota; Agaricomycetes; Russulales; Russulaceae
Description: mitochondrial SSU rRNA
Rfam family: Bacterial small subunit ribosomal RNA
Source: RNAcentral